AAGAGACCUCGAGUAAGACAUCAAUCAUCCAACUCUGGUUCAGCUCGGUCACGUAGAAGAGUUGAUUAUAUGGUACCAUGGAAUCUAACUGUGGAAAGCUCAACACUAACCGCACUUGAAUCCAUUCCAAAUACAUCGCCAGAGGCCGUGAUUGGGAUCGGCCGAGAAAGCACCCGCCAUCACCACAUGGGGGCUCAGGUUCACACCCAUAAAGAGUGCCAAACUCUGCCUGUGGAAACUAACUAAACAACUUGUUUCUUGCAUGUACAUAGCAAUGAUAGCAUCUCUACGCUUCAAGCAUUUUUGUUUUGGGUUCAACCCAUUUCGAAUUCUGAGACAAGUAAAAGAACAGGCCUGUAAGCGAGAGGAGAAAGGGAGCUGAGGUCAUAUCGGAAAUUAGUUAUGGAAGUAAUCAAGGAUGGUAUUCGAACCAAGGGUCUCGAAGAAGAAGAAUGUAAUGUUUCAUUUCGACCAAAGAUGGAUCCAGAAACACCAGGCAUUAGGCCGUGCCUCAGCCAAGAUGAAGGUCUAAAUUAGCUAAGUUAUGAAAGAAUAUGAUAGAGCUUCGAAAAGGCUCAAGAUCUAAAUUAGCUAAGUUGUAUUCAAGGUAUGUGGCAGUUCAAGAAAUGUAGAAACAAGUACGAUCAACACUUAAGAAAUGUUUUGCUCGAGUCGAAAAUAAUUAGUCACUGUAGGAUGUUGAAUUCGAGGUAGAGAAACGAGCAUGAAAUUCGAAGAUUGAACUCGGGAAUAGCACUGUACGAUUACCAACACGAUCCCUCAAUCAGAGUCGCACACAUCAUAAGCCACGAACCCAAGUUCCUAGCAGUUACAAGCAUAUGAAUAUAAAUCAGUCAGCUCGAGAUGAUUCGAAGGCCAAGUUGAGAGUUUUUGUGUUAUGCCGAAUGAGUGGCUUAGAUUAGGCAGUUUGUCUUAGUUUCAAUUGUUGGAAUAAUGGCAUUCAAGAAAAUUUGUUUAAAUCUUUUUCCGUUUUUUCAUUUAUAUCAUCAUGUGUCAAA
This is a long non-coding RNA of Lotus japonicus, 1019 nucleotides long. RefSeq lists it as uncharacterized. The record is from RefSeq and is a predicted model, not a curated record. The transcript is spliced from 3 exons. NCBI's taxonomy places the organism in Eukaryota, Viridiplantae, Streptophyta, Magnoliopsida, Fabales, Fabaceae.